Molecule: unclassified non-coding RNA, 329 nt
Filed under: soil metagenome
Description: partial contains 5.8S ribosomal RNA, internal transcribed spacer 2, and large subunit ribosomal RNA
Rfam family: 5.8S ribosomal RNA (bases 1-120)
Source: RNAcentral
GAUGAAGAACGCAGCGAAAUGCGAUACGUAAUGUGAAUUGCAGAUUUCAGUGAAUCAUCGAAUCUUUGAACGCACAUUGCGCCCGCCUGUAUUCUGGCGGGCAUGCCUGUUCGAGCGUCAUUUCAACCAUCAAGCCUUCGCUUGUGUUGGGGCCCCGCGGCUGCCGCGGUCCCCUAAAUCCAGUGGCGGGCUCGUCGUCGUACCGAGCGCAGUAGACAUCCUCGCUCCGGGAACCCGACGGGUGCCGGCCGUGAAACCCCCCACAUCAAGGUUGACCUCGGAUCAGGUAGGAAUACCCGCUGAACUUAAGCAUAUCAAUAAGCGGAGGA